GAGUUUACCCCGCCUACGGCCCCGGGAGCGGGACCAGGGACCGCGCCGGCCCCAACGGCCCCACGAGCGCAACCCAGCUCCCCGUCCCCGAGAGACGGAAAAACCGGCCCCGGCCCCACAGCGGCCUGAUCCUCCCCACCCGCCUGACCAUCCCCGGCCCCGCAUCGCUGUCACCCGCAGCGGCAUGACCCUCCCUCCCCUCCCCGCUCCGCCACGGCCCUGACCCUCCUAGCACCCCGUCCCCACCCUGACGCUCCUCUUCGAGGCACCUCCGUGGUGUCCCCACCACCACCCUGACUCUCCCACGGCCUUGACCCUCCUCUUCCCCUCCCAGGCACCCUCACCAGCCCGCACCUCCCAGGUGUCCCCACCACCAGCCUGACUCUCCUUUUCUCUUCCCAGGUAUCCCCCCAUCCCCAUGGCCCUGACCCUCCUUCUCCUCCCAGGCAGCCCACACCCCCGCCCUGACUCUCCUCUUCCCCUUCCAAGUGUCUUCAUACCCCCGACCAUCCCCCACUCAUCCCGGGCACCCCACCACCCUGCCCCCCUCUUGCCCUACCAGGCAUCCCUCCGCCUCCUCGCCUCCUCUCAGGCACCCACAACCAUCACCACCAUCUGUUGUGCCAGCAGCGCUUGCAGCCAUGUGACAGGCACCUGCUCCUGGUAGUUAGAAGAUUGGCACACUUAAAGUGAAAACAACCCAGCACGCUGCAAUAAAAAAGCCAAGGCAGUAGAAAAACUGGCCAAGUGGCAAUUGCUAACAUGGAAAAGUAAUAUAGGAUAAUGUCUAAUGUAUUUGUAGCUGUCUUUUAAUGCAAUUGAGUAACUAGAAAUAAGGAAGAUCUGGCACCAUAUGAACAUACAACUUUCCACAGACCAACAGCAGGUGCACUGUGGACUACAGUUUGACAACCGCAGUACUAGUAGCCUGAUUCAAAGUCCAUUGAGGUACAGUGUGUUGCAGUAAUCAAGCCUGGAAGAUAUGAAUACAUGAGUCACUGCAGCCAAACCUGCACUUAUCUGGAUGGGAUGCAGUCUCCUGUCCAGCUAGAGAUGGAAGAAGGUACAACAAUGGAAAAGCCAGACAGGGCGGAUGACCCAUUAGCAAGGACAAUAGACUGUGAAAGUCUUGGCCUUCCUGGGGACUCUCCAUACUGCCGCUGACUCAUGGAUACUGUGAUCUUACAGAGUCAAGUGGUCUUGUCCCCUGAUACUAAAACAUUACAUGGGACUUCUUGUAACUUUCCACUGUAAGGGAAGGGGGGUCAAGUUUGGGAAACAAAGCAUUCCCACCUUAUGUAAAUCCUAUUGAAGGUGGGGAGGAAGGCAAACAGGACUCCUCCUCUUCAUGGGCUGUCUGCCCAAGAAGAAAGAAUCAAAAGGGAAGGCAAAAACUGUGUGCGCUGCAAUGCCCAGCCCCAUCCUGGACAGUCCAGACAUGAAAAAGUUAGUUUGUUCUUCUAAAGACACAAAAUCACGUCACAGCUUAUUAACUUUACAGAGGUGAAUACACCCUUCCCUGUAAACACAGCACUGAGUUGGUUUAUAGUAAAAAAAAAAAUUUUUUUAUUAACAAGAGGACAGAGGUUAGGUGAUGCCAGGUAAAAGGAAUAAAUUUAGAAAGGGUUACAAGCAAAUCAAAGUGAAAACACGUAUCUAAAAGUCUAAAACUUAAUCUAGCAAGGUGCAAGCUUUGUUCAAGAUGGUUUCUCACUUUUAUUCAGUUUUCAGAGAUUUCAACCACCUCUGGACUGAAGACCCAUCUUUCUCAACUUGCAAGAACUCUAUUCCCUUGUGUCUGUUUAGCGAUGGGUGCCAAAGAUGGCUUCUGUCUUUGCUCAUAUCUUCCAAAGUUCAGUGACUUUGUUUGCAGAGGCCGGAUGCCCUCAUGCUGUUUUUCCCUUCCUGUGGGUUUCCCAUCCCUCUGGAUGUAAAUGGGGCUUCCAUUGAUUUGAUUCCACCAUGCUUAAUUUAUAUAGAUAGCUACCUUCUCUCCUUUCUGGGAGGGAACCCAUUUCUCCCUGUUUGGCCACAGACUUUACUUCAUAAUAUCAUUGAGUAUCCAUAUUUCUUCAUACAGUAUAAUACAGACAUUUCACAGUGAUAUUCAUCACUCAUGUGCCAUUAAGUUCCAGAAAAUACCUCACCCUACAUUAUAAUACGGUAAUAUUGUAGAACAUGAGUUGAUUCAAUUACUUAUCAUUUUAGGUUCAGCACCUGUCUUUAUAGACCAAUAAACCUUUGCAAUGUAUUUUUUGAAAAGUAAAACCCAAACCAAGCUUCUCUUUCUGGCUGAGUGUAGAUGCCAUACUGUCUCCUCCCCAUCUUCUUUGCUUGAUAGUCUUGUUUACCUGGUAUGUAAAAAUGGACCUUCAUUGUCUCAAUCAGAUGACCGGGCUGGUCAGAGAAGCAAAUACACAUUCCUUUGUCUAAAGCAGACCUCUUUACCAACUCCCCCUGACAUGCCUGGUUUAAACACACAUUAGUAAUAAUUGCAGCAUACAUUCAAAACUCUUAAUACACACCAUGUGCAUACAUCACGCAAGAAUAUUAAUGAUCAAUGACUUAUUAGUUUUCAAAUGAUACCUCACCAACCAUAUUUUGUACAAAGAUUAUUACAAUAGUGUGUAGGGUGUGAAUACAGGGGUGCUUAGGAUCACAACACCCCAGAACAUUAGCCUUUUUCUCAACUGCAUCACACAGUUGACUCAUUCGAUUUGUGAUCCACUAUAA
Long non-coding RNA from Mauremys reevesii (Reeves's turtle), 2733 nucleotides. RefSeq lists it as uncharacterized. The transcript is spliced from 3 exons. The record is from RefSeq and is a predicted model, not a curated record. NCBI's taxonomy places the organism in Eukaryota, Metazoa, Chordata, Testudines, Geoemydidae.